This is a non-coding RNA of Arachis ipaensis, 168 nucleotides long. The record is from RefSeq and is a predicted model, not a curated record. Lineage: Eukaryota; Viridiplantae; Streptophyta; Magnoliopsida; Fabales; Fabaceae.
AAGACAAAAACAACACCAAAAAAAACACAACCAAAAAAGAAAAAAGUUGUUGUGGAGGAUUCACCUCCUGAAGAAGAUCAAUACUUUGAUGGUGAGAGAUAUGAAAUAUCAAGUGAUGAACUAGAUGAAUGGCUAAGGGAAAACGUUGAUAAAUCUGCUGCAGAGGGG